GGGCGAAUGGUUUAGUGGUAUAAUACUCCCUUAGCAUGUUUCGUCUGAAUAUCUGGGAGUGGUCCAGGGUUCGAUUCCCUGUUCGUCCA
Molecule: transfer RNA, 89 nt
Filed under: Ilyonectria destructans
Lineage: Eukaryota; Fungi; Ascomycota; Sordariomycetes; Hypocreales; Nectriaceae
Also listed under: 8 other names
Description: tRNA-Ala
Rfam family: tRNA
About the family: Transfer RNA (tRNA) molecules are approximately 80 nucleotides in length. Their secondary structure includes four short double-helical elements and three loops (D, anti-codon, and T loops).
Source: RNAcentral